This 300-nucleotide ribosomal RNA is filed under the name Triticum aestivum (bread wheat). RNAcentral describes it as "partial small subunit ribosomal RNA". Lineage: Eukaryota; Viridiplantae; Streptophyta; Magnoliopsida; Poales; Poaceae. The record is from RNAcentral.
AUGUCAAUAGUUGCAAUACAAGGUCAGUUAGUUGCUUCAUUUGUUAUUAUUAUUAUUAUUACCACUGAUGUGUUUCUAGAAGAAACAAUUAUUACUCCUAAUUCAUGCUCACACAACCACUUCAUGCUCACACAAUCAUACAAGUUGAACCACAUAGUUAUUGACACAGAGAUUGCCAUGUUGCUAAUAAAAAAAUUGCAUCAUCCUUUCCUUUCAUAUACAGUAAUCAAAUCUGUUGGAGUUUACACACAAUCUGUGCUCGUAUCCUAUGCUCUUCCUGGUCAUCAACAAUGGAAAUGA